This 813-nucleotide ribosomal RNA is filed under the name Serratia marcescens. RNAcentral describes it as "partial 23S ribosomal RNA". It matches the Rfam family "Bacterial large subunit ribosomal RNA", at positions 718 to 1532 of the family's 2925-position model. The record is from RNAcentral. Lineage: Bacteria; Pseudomonadati; Pseudomonadota; Gammaproteobacteria; Enterobacterales; Yersiniaceae.
AAACCCGGUGAUCUAGCCAUGGGCAGGUUGAAGGUUGGGUAACACUAACUGGAGGACCGAACCGACUAAUGUUGAAAAAUUAGCGGAUGACUUGUGGCUGGGGGUGAAAGGCCAAUCAAACCGGGAGAUAGCUGGUUCUCCCCGAAAGCUAUUUAGGUAGCGCCUCGUGAACUCAUCUUCGGGGGUAGAGCACUGUUUCGGCUAGGGGGCCAUCCCGGCUUACCAAACCGAUGCAAACUCCGAAUACCGAAGAAUGUUAUCACGGGAGACACACGGCGGGUGCUAACGUCCGUCGUGAAGAGGGAAACAACCCAGACCGCCAGCUAAGGUCCCAAAGUCAUGGUUAAGUGGGAAACGAUGUGGGAAGGCAUAGACAGCCAGGAUGUUGGCUUAGAAGCAGCCAUCAUUUAAAGAAAGCGUAAUAGCUCACUGGUCGAGUCGGCCUGCGCGGAAGAUGUAACGGGGCUAAACCAUGCACCGAAGCUGCGGCAGCGACGCUUAGGCGUUGUUGGGUAGGGGAGCGUUCUGUAAGCCGUUGAAGGUGGCCUGUGAGGGUUGCUGGAGGUAUCAGAAGUGCGAAUGCUGACAUAAGUAACGAUAAAGCGGGUGAAAAGCCCGCUCGCCGGAAGACCAAGGGUUCCUGUCCAACGUUAAUCGGGGCAGGGUGAGUCGACCCCUAAGGCGAGGCUGAAAAGCGUAGUCGAUGGGAAACAGGUUAAUAUUCCUGUACUUGGUGUUACUGCGAAGGGGGGACGGAGAAGGCUAGGCUAGCCGGGCGACGGUUGUCCCGGUUUAAGCGUGUAGGGGGUGUGA